GACGAACGCUGGCGGCGUGCUUAACACAUGCAAGUCGAACGGUGAAGCGCCUUCCUUUUUGGUGGGUGUGGAUGAGUGGCGAACGGGUGAGUAACACGUGAGUAACCUGCCCCCUUCUUCUGGAUAACCGCAUGAAAGUGUGGCUAAUACGGGAUAUUCUGGGUCUGUCGCAUGAUGGGUCUGGGAAAGAUAUUGUUUCGGUGGGGGAUGGGCUCGCGGCCUAUCAGCUUGUUGGUGGGGUGAUGGCCUACCAAGGCGGUGACGGGUAGCCGGCCUGAGAGGGUGGACGGUCACACGGGGACUGAGACACGGCCCAGACUCCUACGGGAGGCAGCAGUGGGGAAUAGUGCACAAUGGGCGAAAGCCUGAUGCAGCGACGCCGCGUGAGGGAUGGAGGCCUUCGGGUUGUGAACCUCUUUCGCCAGUGAAGCAGGCCUGCCUCGUUUGUGGGUGGGUUGACGGUAGCUGGAUAAGAAGCGCCGGCUAACUACGUG
This 494-nucleotide ribosomal RNA is filed under the name uncultured bacterium. Its description in RNAcentral is "partial 16S ribosomal RNA". It matches the Rfam family "Bacterial small subunit ribosomal RNA", at positions 28 to 507 of the family's 1533-position model. The record is from RNAcentral.